UACGUAGGGGGCAAGCGUUGUCCGGAUUUAUUGGGCGUAAAGAGCGUGUAGGCGGCUAGGUAGGUCCGUUGUGAAAACUCGAGGCUCAACCUCGAGACGUCGAUGGAAACCAUCUAGCUAGAGUCCGGAAGAGGAGAGUGGAAUUCCUGGUGUAGCGGUGAAAAGCGCAGAUAUCAGGAAGAACACCCGUGGCGAAGGCGGCUCUCUGGUACGUGACUGACGCUGAGACGCGAAAGCGUGGGGAGCAAACAGG
RNAcentral lists this ribosomal RNA (253 nucleotides) under uncultured bacterium. RNAcentral's name for it is "partial 16S ribosomal RNA". It matches the Rfam family "Bacterial small subunit ribosomal RNA", at positions 524 to 776 of the family's 1533-position model. The record is from RNAcentral.